RNAcentral lists this ribosomal RNA (350 nucleotides) under Fidelibacterota bacterium. Its description in RNAcentral is "bacterial SSU rRNA". It matches the Rfam family "Bacterial small subunit ribosomal RNA", at positions 1 to 341 of the family's 1533-position model. The record is from RNAcentral. Lineage: Bacteria; Pseudomonadati; Fidelibacterota.
AACGGAGAGUUUGAUCCUGGCUCAGGACGAACGCUGGCGGCGUGCUUAACACAUGCAAGUCAAGGAGAAAGUCCUCUUCGGAGGGCAAGUAAACUGGCGAACGGGUGAGUAACACGUAGGUAAUCUGCCUUCGAGAUUGGGAUAACAUCGAGAAAUCGGUGCUAAUACCAAAUAAGGUCUCGGUAUAUUAUAUCGGGAUGAAAAGUGGGGAUCUUCGGACCUACUGCUUGAAGAUGAGCCUACGUCUGAUUAGCUAGUUGGUAAGGUAAUGGCUUACCAAGGCGACGAUCAGUAGCUGGUCUGAGAGGAUGAUCAGCCACAUUGGGACUGAGAUACGGCCCAGACUCCUA